Sinocyclocheilus grahami is the source of this 497-nucleotide long non-coding RNA. RefSeq lists it as uncharacterized. Lineage: Eukaryota; Metazoa; Chordata; Actinopteri; Cypriniformes; Cyprinidae. The record is from RefSeq and is a predicted model, not a curated record. The transcript has 4 exons.
CAGAAAUAUUUUUUUGCUGAUGCAAAAAAUUCCCAAAGGGCCCAGAAGACUAGUGGCUAUCUCUCUUAGGUUUCCACGACCUAAGUGGUUGGUAAGUUUAGACUCAUGAUGGAGGCCUAUCGUUGUGUGUUCAAGCCUAUCGCGACGUUUCGGAUUCUGUGAUACUUCCUCAGGCGAGCUCUGAACACUAAAUGGCUGGAAUUCUCUACAGCAGCCAUGACUCGAGUCACCACAGAUUAUCAUCUGAUUAAUUACAAACCAUACCUGCAGUAAAGCAAGGAAAGCAAUAAUUUUACUUUUAAGCAACGCCAGGAGAGAAAGUGUGUCUUGACCAACGGAAUAGAGCAUGGCACCCCCUGCAGCUCACUGCAUCGCUCAGUGUCAUGAGACCAUCACUUUUGAGUCAAGUCACAAACUGAUAAUCUCUCCUUGAAUAAUAUAAAAUGUUCAUUCAUGUGGAAAAGAAAUGUUGUUUAUUUCCAUUGAAUAAAUUAUGA